AAUAAUAAAUUAAAAUACUUAUUAGUUUUAUAUUUUUUAAUUAAAAAAGUUUGAUUCUAGUUUUUAAAAUAAUUUUAUUUUUAUUUUACAUGUUUAAAAUUUAUGUUAUUAUUAAUUGCAGUAAUUCAUAUUUUACAACUUAUAUAGGUAUAGAAAUAAAUAAAUAGCUGAAUAAAUAUGUGCCAGCAUUCGCGGUUAGACAUAAGGUUUAAUUAUUUAAUUAGGUAAAAUUAAGUUUAUUAAUUAAUAAUUAGUUAAAUUUAAGAUCAGGUAAAAUUGAGUAUUAUAAAAUUGAGAUAUUUAUUUUUAUUCUUUUAGAAAAUUAGAUUUGUUAACCUGGAUUAGAUACCCAGUUAUUCUAAUAUUAAUUUUUAACCUGAGUAGUAUAAAUUUAGGAACUUAAAGAAUUUGGCGGUAUUUUUUACUAAUUAGAGGAACCUGUUCCAUGAUUGAUAGCCCACGAUAGACUUUACAUCUUUUAAAAUUUAUAUAUCGCUGUUGUAACGAAUGAAUUUUGAAAAAAUUUUUUCUGUAUAUUGUUAAGAAAUUUAUAACAAGUCAAGGUGUAGUGUAUAAAGAUGAGGUAAUGGGUUACAUUAAUUUAAAAUUAUGGAAAAUUAGUAUAUUAAAAUUAAUAAAAUAGGAUUUAAUAGUAAAAUUUUUAACUUUAUAAAUUUAAAUAAAGUUCUAAAGUAUGCACACAUCGCCCGUCGCUCUUAUUUAAUAUAAGAUAAGUCGUAACAAAGUAGGUCCGCCGGAAGGGGGACCUGGAUAG
Molecule: non-coding RNA, 775 nt
Filed under: Gomphiocephalus hodgsoni
Lineage: Eukaryota; Metazoa; Arthropoda; Collembola; Poduromorpha; Hypogastruridae
Source: RNAcentral